GAUGAAGAACGCAGUGAAAUGCGAUAAGUAAUGUGAAUUGCAGAAUUCAGUGAAUCAUCGAAUCUUUGAACGCAUCUUGCGCUCCUUGGUAUUCCGAGGAGCAUGCCUGUUUGAGUGUCAUUUAACUUCUCAACCACAUUGGAUAUUUUUUUUCCGAUGCCGGCUUGGAUGUGGGGGUUGUUUGCAGGCUUUUUGUAACAAAAAAGGUCGGCUCCCCUGAAAUGUAUUAGUGGUAUCUGAGGCUAUUACUAUUAGGUGUGAUAAUUAUCUAUGCCUUUUGGGUAUGCCGCAUGAACAGAUUAUGCUGCUUCUAACGAAAACUAUUUUGAUGAAUUUGACCUCAAAUCAGGUAGGACUACUCGCUGAACUUAAGCAUAUCAAUAAGCGGAGGA
This 392-nucleotide unclassified non-coding RNA is filed under the name soil metagenome. RNAcentral describes it as "partial contains 5.8S ribosomal RNA, internal transcribed spacer 2, and large subunit ribosomal RNA". The stretch from base 1 to 120 matches the Rfam family "5.8S ribosomal RNA", at positions 35 to 154 of the family's 154-position model. The record is from RNAcentral.